Dreissena polymorpha is the source of this 372-nucleotide long non-coding RNA. RefSeq lists it as uncharacterized. The transcript has 3 exons. NCBI's taxonomy places the organism in Eukaryota, Metazoa, Mollusca, Bivalvia, Myida, Dreissenidae. The record is from RefSeq and is a predicted model, not a curated record.
GGCGGGAUACACCAACCACGAUACUCUUGAAGAUGCCUUGUUUUCUUUAAAACAGUUUGAAAAAAAGUCGACUACGAGAUAUGUCGUCGGAAACGCAACCAAGCACUUUGGUAAAAUAGAACUGAGAGUCGAAAGACAGAACAAACUGUUGUGGAAUGAUUGUACUCCAUACAUGGUGCUUGGAAGGAAGGUGCUAUUUUGCCACCAUGGGAAAGAUUACCACCGGAAAAGCAAGGAAAGGAAAAAAAACGUGCAGAAGCUGAUCACGCCAACUAUUUUAAGAAAGGCCGAUUACGUGUGAGAGACACCAAAAAACUUAAUUGUAGCGCGAAAGCUGUGAUCAGCGAGAUAUUAAUAUUUCCCGAAGCAAAG